AAAAUCUUUUCCCACAUCUAUUGGGAUAAUCAUAUUGUUAUGUUUUUUGUUUUUAUUAUAUUUUUAAUAUGGCUAAUUAUAUUGAAUUUUUUACUUACUGUUGAACCAUUCUUUCAUAUAUAGAAUAAGUCCAGCUCGGUGAUAACAAAUGAUUUCUUGGAUGUCACGGAAAUCUCUUUUUCAAAAUUUUACUUUAAAAUUUUUAGUUGGGGUCAAAAUAGCAGAAUUAAUGCAGCAACCCAGUUGCACUGUCCCAAUGUUCCCUUCCAAACAACUUUAAAACCAUGCCUCCAGUCAAAUUCUGGAAUAGCAGAGCUAAUAAAAGGGGGGGGGGAAGACAUUUUCCCCACAUAGGAUAACUUAAAGAUCUGUGACAGUGCUGGGGUAAGAGGUUGUCCUUGACAAUAAUUAUGACAGUUGGAUAACUAGUCCAAAGGAUAUUAUUGGGGUACUCUUUGCUUGUGCUGGAUGUAGGACAGAGAGCUGAGGCAACUAUUGCACUUUUCAAUUUUUAAAUGCAUAUUUAGUUCAUUAACUAUGUCUUUUUUAUUUUGCUAAUCUAUGUUUAUAGAGAAACAAUUUCCCCCUGCGGAUUACUUUACCUACAUCCCCCAAAUUCUGAUAUGUUGUUUCAUUAUUCUCAUUUUCUUUUACAUAAUUGUUUUAUGAUUUUAGAUAGAAUAGAAUAUUAAAAUCUUUUGUCUCUAUUGUGUUGUAGUCUGUGACUUCUUGUAGUUCCAGUAAUGUUUCUUUUAUGAAUGCUAAGGCAUUUGGAGCAUAUAAAUUUCAUAUAAAUACUGUUUUGUUACAUAUAAUACUUUUCCAUAUAAUGUAGUUUCCUUAUUUAUCCUUUUUUAUGUUUUGACUAUUUGUUUUCUGGUUAAUAUGAUUCCAGCUCCUAUUUGUUUGGAUUCACUUGAAGCAUAGUAAUUUUUUCCUAUCUCCUUAUUUGUAUUUUUUCCAUGUCUUUAUUUUAAAAUGCUUUAUGUUAGCAUCAGAUUUUUCUCUUAUACAUUGUGUUCAUCAUUUAUUUUAUUGUAUUAUUUAUUUCAUAUUUAAAGCUAUGAAAAUUAGAUUUCUAUUUUCUUUAUUUGUUAUAUAUACAUAUAAGCACAUAUAUAGGCACAAGUACACAAAAUUAGAAUUUUCCUGUCUAGCUUUUGUUAACUGCCCUAAGCUGAGAGCUCUAGAUCAAAGGGGCCAUCAUCCUUCUGAAUAUCUAGGAAAGUAUAUCAUUGCUUACUAAAUGGGAGCCAGUAUGGUCAUCAACUAUAAUUGAAGAGAAGCAGAGAAUCUCAGUUACCACAUGAUUAGCAGCAUGUCUCUACAGUGAAUCAAGAUGUGAUGUCCUAAGUGUAACAUGAAAUCACCAGAAGAUAUCAGCAAUCUGGAGUCAUCAGACUUGGGUUGCCCCAGGUACAUGUAUGCCCAGGUUACUUGCUGCUCUACAUGUGACCUUGCCAUACAUGUUCCUGUUGCAUACCUCUCCUGUAGUUCACUGGCCUCAGUCAUUUACUGCACAUGUAUCCUGCAUUAAUGUUUAGUGGAUAAAGAUGGUAUUGUUGGUAAACCUGUAGCACUGGGUUUGCAUUUUCCUGGAUAAAUGUGUGGUUGUUUUACCCAUGUUUUACCAUGCAUUUAACAUAGAUAUUCAUUUUGGGGGUGUAUUUCUUCUCUGUGUAAAUUCAGUGAUCAAAAGCAUUCACCAUAUUCCUCAAAUGUUCUUGUCACAUUCUCUUCAUGUUUGCUCUUUCCUCAUGGUUAAGUAUCAGUCUGUAAAGGGUAUUCUCCUCUAAGGGUGGGCUCAGAUAAUAAUUCUUGUCUCUUUUUUGCUUUAUUUUUUAAAUGCUUGCCUUCCAUCUUAAAAUCAAUACUGUGUAUUGGCUCCAAGGCAGAAGAGUGUUAAGGGCCAGGCAAUGGGGAUUAAGUGACUUAUCUCAGGGCCACACAGCUAAGAAGUAUCUGAGGCUAAAUUUGCACCCAGGACCUUCUGUCUCUCAAUCCACUGAGACACUUACCUGUUACUAAAUGGUUUUUAUUAAAUAGAUAUAUUUUUAACUCAGAGUAAAUCCAUUAGUAACUACUCCUGAACUCUGUUUUGGAGUUUUUGCUGUCCCUCAUAAUGUUUUUGAUUUGGGAACAGUUUUCUGAGUGUAUUAGAUAGUUUGCAAGAUAUAAGAUUGUUCUAAAAGGAAGCUAUAAACUCCCUUAUUGUUGUGUGCUAAAGUACUGUUAUUUAUUAAUAAAUAAAGGCAAUUCAAAGAAUAGUCUCUGUCUUUCCACAGGAGCAUCUAGCUUGCCUGUCUACCCUUAGCAGAGGGAGUAUCAACAAAGGGGCUGUCUUAUUCUCACACCAAGAAAAAAUUUCUAUACCUCAUGUUUUAAUGGAGAGAAAUCUGAGUCACCAACAGGUAUCUCAGAAAAGAGAUAGCCCAGAUAUUGGGUACAGAAAGUUGUUCAGUGACCAGGAAGAAGGUCAUAAGGAUAUAUCAGCACAGUGGAGAUGUGACAUCCAAAAGAGAGGAGGACUCUGCUUGUAUUGUGUUUGAUAGCCCUAACCAAGCCAAAGGCUUUUUGGGGAUCGAAGAAGCUGUCAUCCUUCCUGUAUCCAGAAAGAGCAGCAUUGCUUAGGAUAAGGGAGCCAAUGUUAUCACCAGGAGUGUUCAAUGCCCACAAGAUCAGUAAAAUUUCUUCCCAGAGAAUUGAGAUGUGAAUAAAUAUGAAUUCAUCAGCAAUCUGGUAUCAUUGCAUUUAGGUUUCCCCAGGUGUAGGAUCCAAUGAAGUGGAACAAUUGAGAUUGCAGAGGCAGCAAAUCAGGAAUUCUUACUCAUCGGGACCAAGGAUGUCCUAGAACCUGGGACAAACCAAUCCAGAUAGGGCAGGUGACCUCAUGGGUCCCCCUGGUCACAGUGUUCGACAGAAUCCCAGGGAACAGUGGCAAACAGAUGAAGGUGAGUGGGGGACUCCAAAGGUGAUGGAUGGAUUUGAGAUCUUCCAACUUCUCUCAUCCUGUCCAUAUCAAAAUGAGGGAAAAGAAAUACAGAAGUCCCUGUUCGCAAAUCCAAAGAAGUACCACUUAUUGAUCCUACCAGACAGGACAAAGGGAUAGCUGCUUAAACAAUCAGCAGCCCACAGAGGUGAAGGAUGGAGCUCCAGUAUCCUAACCAAGAGAACUAGAAACCAGUCCUGCACUUGUCUGUCCUGAGUCCAUGUCCAAAAUAGUCAGUCUUUCCCCAUACUAGAUAGGACUUGUUAUUUGAUGGCUGGCAGAAUUAAUCCUGUUCGGACGUAGACCUCCAUAAGGUUCUUACAUGCAGUCAGAACCAAAGGGAGGAGGCAGAGUAUUCGAGGCAUAGUGGUGGGAAUGGGUUAGGUAGCAAUGGCUAAUGAAGGCUGAAAGAUAAGUUGGGGCCCCAUUCUGAGGUGCUUUAAAAAGCCAAAUGGAAGAGUUUCUGUACUAGAGAGUAAUUGUGAGUAAAGAAAUAAAAUGGGCAGAUGGGCACUUUAAUGGAGAUCCAUCACUUACAAUGUUGGGCUGGUUGCCUGGGAGACCCAGCCCUAGUGCACAGAUCACAGACCCUUGGAAUCAGGAACACACAGUGAAACCUUCAGUUGGUAGUUGUGGUUUCUAGGGGAUGUGGCUUCCCUGUGCUCACACACAGGUCCAUGGCUGGGUAUACAGAAGACAUUUUAAAUCAAACAUGACUUUACUCAAGUUCCUUGUUGACAGGUGACCUCAUGGAUCCCCCUGGUCACAGUCUUUGAGGGAAACCCAGUGAGCAGCAGCACGCUGAGGAUAGUUAGUGGGAGACACCAAAGGUAAUGGAUGGAGGUGAGAUUUUCUAACUCCUCUCCUCCAAUCAUUAUCAAAACUAGUGAAAAGAAAUAGGGAAGUCCCUGUUUCCAAAAUCAAAGAAUUACCAGUUAUUGAUCCUAACAGACAGGCCAAAGGGAUGGCUGCUCAAAGAAUCAGCAGCCCACAGAGGUGAUGGAUGGAGCUCCAGCAUCCUAACCUAGAGAACUAGAAACCAGUCCUCCACUUAGCUAUCCUGAGCCCAUGUCCAAAACAGUCAGUCCAUCCCCAGACUAGAUAGAAUCAGCUAUUUGAUGGCUGGCAAGAUUAACCUCACUGGAACCAGUACCUACCUAGGAUCUUGCAAUAAUCAGAACUAAAUUGAGGAGGUAUGGUAUUCUAGGCAUGGUGGUAGGACUGGACUUGGGUGGCAAAGGCUAUUGAAGGAUGAAAGACACGUUGGGGCUCUAUUGUGAUGCACUUCAAAAAGCCAAACAGAAGAGUUUCUAUACUAGAGAGUAAUUGUGAGAAAGGAAGAUAAAUGAGCUGAUGUGUGCUUUAAGAGAGAUGCAGGGGGCAGCUGGGUAGCUCAGUGGAUUGAAAGCCAGUCCUAGAGAUGGGAGGUCCUAGAUUCAAAUCUGGCCUCAGACACUUCCCAGCUGUGUGACCCUGGGCAAGUCACUUGACCCCCAUUGCCUAGCCCUUACCACUCUUCUGCCUUGGAGCCAAUACUGCGUAUUGGCUCCAAGACAGAAGGUAAGGGUUUAAAAAACAAGAAAAAAAAAGAGAGAUGCAGUACUUAGCAUGUUGGGUUGGUUAGCUGGGAGACCCAGCCUUGGGGUUAGGUCACACACCGUGGAAUCUGGAAUACACAGUGAAACCCUCAGUUGGUAGAUGAGGAUGAGAAAGAGACUUCCGUAUGCUCACACACAGGUCCAUAGCUGGGUAUAUAGAAUUCUUUUGAAAUCAAAUACGACUUUACUCAAAUUCCUUGUAGACAGGUGACCUCAUGGAUCCCCCUGGUCACAGUAUUCUAGAGAACCCCAGCAAGUAGAGACACUCAGAGAAAGGUGAGUGGUGGCUCCAAGGUGAUGGAUUGAGGUGAAAUCUCCAACUCCUCUCCUCCCAUCCAUAUCAAACAAAGGGAGAAGCAAUAGGAAAGUUCCUGUUCCCAAAUCCAAAAAAUUAGCACUUAUUGAUCCUAGCAGACAGGCCAAAGGGAUGGAUGCUCAAAAAAUCACCAGCUCAAAGAGGGGAUGGAUGGAUCUCCAGCCUCCUAAGCUAGAGAACUAGAAACAAGUCCUGCACUUAUCUGUCCUGAACCCAUGUCCAUGAGUACUUCCCCAGAGUAGAUGGGACUUGUUAUUUGAUGGCUGGCAGAAUUAACCACGUUGGGACGUAGACCUCCAUAGGAUCCUUACAUGUAGUCAGAACCAAAGUUAGGAGGCAGAGUAUUUGAGGCAUAGUGGUGGGACUGGGUUUGGGUAGCAAUGGCUAAUGAAGGCUGAAAGAUAAGUUGGGACCCCGUUAUGGGGAGCUUUAAAAAGCCAAACAGAAGAGUUUGAAUCUGGACAUACAGUGAAACCCUCAGUUGGUAGAUGAUGCUGAGAAGGGAAGUGGCCUCCCUAUGCUCACACACAGGUCCAUGGCUGGUUAUACAGAAGACUUUUGAAAUCAAACAUGACUUUACUUACUCAAGUUCCUUGUUGACAGGUGACCUCAUGGAUCCCCCUGGUCACAGUGUUCAAGGGAAACCCAUUGAGCAGCAGCACUCAGAGGAUAGUUAGUGGGGGACUCCAAAGGUGAUGGAUGAAGGUGAGAUUUUCCAACUCCUGUCCUCACGUCCAUAUCAAACCUAGUGAGAAGAAAUAGAGAAGUCCCUGUUUCGAAAACCAAUGAAGUACCAGGUAUUGAUCCCAGCAGAUAGGCCAAAGGGAUGGCUGCUCAAAGAAUCAGCAGCCCACAGAGGUGAUGGAUGGAGCUCCAGCAUCCUAACCUAGAGAACUAGAAACCAGUCCUACACUUAGCUAUCCUGAGCCCACUUCCAAAACAGUCAGACCAUCCCCAGACUAGAUAGAACCUGCCAUUUGAUGGCUGAUAAGGUUAACCCUGCUGGGACUGGGACCUACAAAAGAUCCUGAAUGUAAUCAGAACUAACCUGAGGAGGUAAGGCAUUCUAGGCAUGGUGGUGGGACUGUACUUGUGUAGCAAAGUGUAUUGAAGGCUGAAAGACACAUGGGGUUCUGUUGUGAUUCACUUCAAAAAGCCAAAGAGAAGAGUUUCUAUACUAGAGAGUAGUUUUAAGGUAGAAAAAUGGGUAGAUGUGCGCUUUAAGGGAAAUGCAUCACUUAGCAUGUUGGGUUGGUUGCCUGGGAGACCCAGCCCUAGUGCUUAGGUCACAGACCCUUGGAAUCUGGAAUACACAGUGAAACCCUCAGUUGGUAGAUGAGGCUGAGAAGGGAAGUGAGUUCCCUAUGCUCACACACAGGUCCAUAGCUGGGUAUAUAGAACAUUUUAAAAUCAAAUAUGACGUUACUCAAAUUCCUUGUAGACAGGUGACCUCAUCGAUACCCCUGGUCACUGUGUUUGAGAGAAACCCAGCGAGCAGUGACACUCAGGGAAAGGUGAGUGGGGGACUCUAAGUUGACAGAUGGAGGUGAAAUCUUCCAACUCCUCUCCCCCUAUCCAUAUCAAACCAAGGGAGAAGCAAUGGGGAAGUCCCUGUUCCCAAAUCCAAAGAAGUAUCACUUAUUGAUCCUAGCAGACAGGCCAGAGGGAUGUCUGUUCAAACAUUUAUUAGCCCACAGAGAUGAUUGAUGGAGCUUCAGUCUCCUAACCUAGAGAACUAGAAACCAGUCCUCCACUUUUCUGUCCUGAGCCCACGUCCAAAACAGUCAGUCCUUCCCUGCACUAGAAAGGACUUGUUAUUUGAUGGUUGAUAGAAUUAUCCCUGCUGGGACUUAGACCAGACCCCAGUAGGGUCCUUACAUGCAGUAAGAACCAAAAUGAGGAGGAAGCGUAUUCAAGGCAUGGUGGUGGGAAUCAAUGGUUAAUGAAGGCUGAAAAAUGAGUUAGGACCCCGUUGUGAGGUGCUUUAAAAGUGAACCAGAAGAAUAUCUAUCCUAGAGAGUAGUGAGUAAGGAAGUAAAAUGGGCUGAUAUGGGCAUUAAGGGAGAUCCAUCACGCAGAAUGUUGAGUUGGUUGCCUGAGAGACUCAGCUCUAGUGCUGAGGUCAUAGACCCCUGAAAUCUGGAACACACAGUGAAACCCUCAGUUGGUUGAUAAUGCUGGGAAGGGAAGUGGCCUCCCUAUGCUCACACACAGGUCCAUGGCUGGGUACACAGAAGCCUUUUGAAAUCAAACAUGACUACUCAAAUUCCUUAUUGACAGGUGACUUCAUCAAUCCCUCUGGUCGCAGUGUUCGAGAGUAACCCAUUGAGCAGCAGCACUCAGAGGAUAGUCAGUGGGGGACUCUAAAGGUGAUUGAUGGAGACAGGAGACCUCAUGGAUCUCCCUGGUCACAGUGUUCAAGAGAAUUCCAGUGAGGAGCAGCACUCAGAGAAAGGUGACCUCAUGGGUCCCCCUGGUCACAGAGUUCGAGAGAAUCCCAGGGAGCAGCAAGACACAGAUGAAGGUGACGUCAUGGAUCCCCAUGGUCACAAUGUUUGAGGCAAAUGCAGCAAGCAGCAGCUCUCAGAGGAUAGUGAGUGGGGGACUCCAAAGGUGAUAGAGACAGGUGACAUCGUGGAUCUUCCUGGUCGCAGUGUCGAGGGAAACAAAGCAGGCAACAGCACUCAGAGGAAUGUGAGUAGGGGACUCCAAACAUAAUGGAUAGAGGUGAGAUCUUCCAACUCCUUUCCUCCCUUCCAUAUCAGAUUGAGGGAGAAGAAAUUGGUAAGUCCCUGUUCCCAAAACCAAAGAAGCACCCGUUAUUGAUCCUAGCUGAAAGGCCAAAGUGAUGGCUGCUCAAACAACCAGCAGCCCACAGAGGUGAUGGAUGGAGCUCCAGCAUCCUAACCUAGGGAACUAGAAACCAUUCCUCCACUUAGUUGUUUUGAGGCAAGAUCCAAAACAGUCAAUCCAUCCCCAGACUUGAUAGAACCUGCUAUUUGAUGGAUGACAAGAUUAACCCUACUGGGACUGGGACCUACAUAGGAGCUUGCAUGUACUCAGAACUAACCUGAGGAGGUAAAGUAUUCUAGGUAUGAUGGUGGGACUGGAUUAGGGUAGCAAAGGCUAUUGAAGGCUGAAAGACCCUUUGGGACUCCGUUGUGAUGUGCUUCAAAAAGCCAAACAGAAGAGUUUCUAUACUAGAGGGGUAAUUGUAAGGAAGAAAAAUGGGCAGAUAUGGGCUUUAAGGGAAAUGUGUUACUUACAAUGUUGAGUUGGUUGCCUGGGAGACCCAGCCCUAGUGCUGAGGUCACAGACCCCUGGAAUCUGGAGCACACAUUGAAACCCUCAGUUGGUAGAUGAGGCUGAGAAGGGAAGUGGCUUCCCUAUGCUCACACACAGGUCCAUGGCUGGGUAUACAGGAGAUUUUUGAAAUCAAACAUGACUUUACUCAAAUUCCUUGUUGACAGGUGACCUCAUGGAUCUCCCUGGUCACAGUGUUCGAGGGAAACCCAGCAGGCAAUAGCACUCAGAGGAAUAUGAGUCGGGGACUCCCAAGGUGAUGGAUGGAAGUGAGAUCUUCCAACUCCUCUCCUGCCCUCCAUAUCAAACUGAGGUGGAAGUAAUAGGGAAGCCCCUGUUCUGAAAACCAAUACGGUACCAGUUAUUGAUCCUAGCCAACAACCAAAGGCAUGCCUGAUCAAACAGUCGGCAGCCCACAGGGGUAAUGGAGGGAGCUCUAGCAACCUAUCCCAGAGAAAUAGAAAUCAUUCCUCCACUUAGUUGUCCUGAAGCCAUGUCCAAAACAGUCAGUCCUUCCGCAGACUAGAUAGAACCUGCUAUUUGAUGACUGGCAGGAUUAAUGCUGCUGGGAGUGGGAUCUACAUAGGAUCUUGCAUGGAAUCAAAACCAACCUGAGGAUGUAAAGUAUUCUAGGCAUGCUGGUGGAACUGGGCUUGUGUAGCAAAAGCUAAUGAAGGCUGAAAAACAAGUUGGGACUCCUUUCUGAGGUGCUUUAAAAAGCCAAGCAGGACGCAGAGUCAAGAUGUUGGGCUAGAAGGAAAUGAAUUUCAGACCUCUGAAUACCCUUCCUUACCACAUACCGAAUGCUCCAAGGGCACUGAAAAUCAAACCUAACAAUAAGACAAGAACCAAGGAACCCUCCUGCUGGAAUCAAUUCAAAAGGUACGCCCCUCAAAGCCGGAAUCUGAGAACACUCGGGUUUAAGGGGAAGGCUGAAGGAAGGACCCAGGACCCUUCCCUCCUCCCAGAGAGAACGCUGAGCCUCCAGUGGCAGUGGGAACCUCUGGGCAGGCAAAGAUCCUGAGUUCCUGUUUGUCCUGAGUGUGUACCUUGAGGACAAGGCUGUGCCAAGCUCAAAGCCUCGAACACAGAUGGUGGGGAAGGAGCUGCAGAGGGAACUUAGAGCUGGCAGCCUGGCCAAAGCUGUGGAUACCCUCCAUAUUUGCUGCAGAGGUCCACGAGGUGUGGGCCCCAGAGCACACCCAGCCCAACCCAACUGAACUUAAUCCCAUCAAAAGUCUUCAGAACUCAGGGAAGCCCAGGCUCCACAGCCCUCCCUCAAAGACUGCUGGAUUUUAAUCUAAUCAAAAGCCUGCAGAGGACAGGGACACUCAAACCCCCAAAACCGUUGCCCACAGACUGCAUCCAAAGAUCCUCUCUAACUUCCAUGAGGAGAAGCUGUCAGAAGCCCCCAAAACCAAUAAAAAAAUGAGAGGAACAAGAGCACAGACAAAUGUGGGAGGGUCAAAGAAGGGUUGAAUAUAAGCAAACAACAGAAGAAGAAAGAAAUUACAAUAGACAGCUUCUAUACAGUGAAUGGAAUAGAGGGGGUGGGAUCAGCAAACAAUAAAUCAGGAAUCCCUGGGAAUUGAAUACAAGUUUUGGAAAAACUCAAAAUACAAUUCAAAACACAAUUAAGAGAGGCUAAAGACAAUUGGGGAAAAAACUUAAAAAUGAACACAAGUCAUCUGGAAAGAGAAGCAAUUGAACUAAAUGCAAAAAUAGUGUCUUUUAAGCCAAAAUCAAACAGCUGGAAAAUGAGCCAAAGGAGAUGAAAGAUGAGGCAAAGGUGAUAAAAUAUGAGGUAAAGAGGAUAAAGGAUGACCUCCAAGGAAAAUCAGACCAGAAAGAGAAGGAUGACCAAAAAGCCAGGGAUGAAAUCCAGUCUUUAAGAACCAGAAUACAACGACAAUUAAGUGACCUCACAGGGCUGCAGGACAUUAUAAAACAAAAACAAAAGAAUAAAAAUAUUGAGGAAAAUAUGAAGCAUCUCAUUCACAAAACAGAGGAUGUAGAAAAUUGUUUGAGCAGAGACAAUUUAAGAAUCACUGGUAUACCACAAAAACAUGACAAAAGAAAAAGUCUGUACACAAUACUACAGGAAAGUAAUUCAAGAAAACUGCCCUGAUAUUCUAGAACAAGUGGGAAAAGUGGAGAUUGAAAGAAUCCACAGAUUACCUCCUGUACUUAAUGAACUAUCUGACCAAAGAAAAGAUAUUACAAGCUGCCAAGAAGAAGUCAUUCACAUACCAUGGAACCACAGUGAGGUUAACACAGCAUCUGGCUGUAUCCACAUUAAAGGACCGAAAUGCAUGGAAUAUGAUAUUCCACAAAGCAAGGGAACUAGGUCUACAACCAAGAGCCAACUCCCCAGCAAAACUGAUUAUAUUCUUACAGGGGAAAGUAUGGUCAUUCAGCAAAAGAGAUACAUUCCAAGAAUUUGUAAAGAAAAGACCCGAGCUGAACAGGAAAUUCGAUGCCCAAGCACAGAACUCAAGAGAAUCAUCAAAAUGUAAUUUUGAAAAGGGGGAAAAAAGAAAAACAAGACAAACAACCCUCCCCUUUUUUAAAGAGUCUCAGUAGGUUAAAAUGUAAUGUAUCCCUAUGAGAAAAGAGGUAUUCUUAACUCUUAAAAACUGUUUUUAUCACCUGCGCAGCUACAAGAGUUACACUUAGAAGGAGGGACAAGACAUAAAUAGGUGAAUAAUUAUAUGCAUUCAUAAAUACAUAUAUAUGUAUAUAUAUAUAUAUCUGUAUUAAUAUAUACAAAUAGAGGUAAAAGGGGGUUAAUACUAAAAAUGGGAAAGGAAACAAAUGGGGGUAAAUUUAUAUGUCACAAAGAAGCUCAUGGCAGGAGGGGAGAGAACAUCAAUACACUGGAAGGGUAAAGAUGUUGGAGAUAGGAAAUAUUCAACUUUUAUGUGCUUUGAAAUUGACCCGAAGAGGGAAGAAGAAUCCAUUCCAUUGGGGCAGAGAAUAGAUUUGCGCCCUAUAGGGUAGCAGAAGUGUAACAAACAGAUUGGUAGGGAGGGAAGCAGUACAAGGGAGGGAGAUGGUGGGGUGGUAAUUUUAGAAAGACUACAGAGAAAAUAAGUGGGGGAAUAAGAAGGGAGAGGGGUAGAAAAGGAAGUAAAAUAAGGGUGGGAACUAAGGGGACUGAUUAACCCAAACAUUGGUGUAAAAGGAAAUAGUGAAAGAAGGAAAGGCAGGACCAGGAGUAGGAAUCAAAAUGCUGGGAAAUACACAUCUAGCAAUCAUAACUCUGAAUCUGAAUGGAAUGAACUCUCCCAUAAAACACAAACAAAUACCAGAGUGGAUUAGAAUCCAAAACCCUAUCAUAUGCUAUCUACAAGAAUUGCACAUGAGGAAGUUAGAUACACAUAGGGUGAAAGUAAGAAGAUGGAGCCAAAUCUAUUGGCCAUCAACUGAUAAAAAGAAGGCAGGAGUCUCAAUAAUGAUAUCUGACAAUUCCAAGGGAAAAAAUAUAGUUAAAAAAGAUAGGGAAGUAAUUACAUCCUGAAAAAAGCAGUAUAGACAAUGAGAAAAUGUCCGUACUGAACAUAUAUGCACCAAAUGGCAUAGCAUCCAAAUUUCUAAAGAAGAAACUAGAGGAACUCAGGGAUGAAAUAUAUAGAAAACUAUAGUAGUAGGAGACCUCUAUUCGAACUAGAUAAAUCAAAACAAAAAAUAAAUAAGAGGUAAGAGAAGUGAAUGAAAUUUUAGAAAAAUUAGAGUUAGACAUGUGGAGAAAAAUAAAUAGGGAAAAAAGGAAUACAUUUUCUUUUCAGCAGCACAUGGCACAUUCACAAAAACUGACCAUGUAUGAGGGCAUAAAAACAUUGCAAACAUGGGCAAAAUAGCAGAAAUAAUAAAUGCAACCUUCUCAGAUCACAAUGCAAUUAAAAUAAAAAUUAGUAAGGGCACAUGGACAGGUAAAUCAAAAAUUAAUUGGAAAUUAAACAAUACAAUUCUCCAAAAUUGAUUAAAGAACAAAUCUUUGAAACAAUUAACUUCACUGAAGAAAAUUACAAUGAUGAGACAUCCUUUUAAAACCUAUGGGAUACAGGCAAAGUAGUACUCAGGGGGAAAUUUAUAUUCUUGAGUUCAUAUAUUAACAAAUUAAGAAGGUCAGAGGUCAAUGAAUUGGGCAUGUAAAUAAAAAAACUAGAAAAAGAACAAAUCAAAAAUCCUCUGAGCAAGACUAAAUUAGAGAUCCUAAAAAUCAAAGGAGAAAUUAAUAAAAUUGAAAGUCAAAGAACUAUUGAUUUAAUAAAUAAGACUAGAAGCUGGUACUUUGAAAAAACAAAUAAAAAAGACAAAGUACUAGUCAGUCUAAUUCAAAAAAGAAAGAAAAAACCAAAUUGACAGUAUUGAAGAUGAAAAGGAGACCUCUCCUCUACUGAAGAGGAAAUUAAGGCUAUCAUUUAAAACUACUAUGCCCAAUUACACGGCAACAAAUAUGGGAAUCUAGGUGAUAUGGAUGAAUACUUACAAAAAUAUAAAUUGCCUAGACUAACAGAGGAAGAAAUAAAUUUUCUAAACAACCCCAUAUCAGAAAAAGAAAUUGAACAAGCUAUCAAAAAACUCCCUUAGAAAACAUCCCCACGUCCAGAUGGAUUCACCAAUGAAUUCAAUCCAACAUUCAAAGAACAACUAAUCCCAAUAUUAUACAAACUAUUUGACAGAAUAAGCCAUGAAGGGGUUUUACCAAAUUCUUUUUAGGACACAAACAUGGUACUGAUCCCAAAGCCAGGCAGAUUAAAAACAGAGAAUGAAAACUAUAGAUCUAUCUCCUUAAUGAAUAUACAUGCAAAAAUCUUAAAUAGGAUACUAGCAAAGAGACUCCAACAAGCCAUGCCAGGUGUUAUUCACUAUGAUCAGGUAGGAUUCAUACAAGGAAUGCAACGAUGGUUCAAUAUUAGGAAAACCAUCUGCAUAAAUGACCAUAUUAACAAGCAAAAAGAAAAAACCACAUGAUUUUCUCAAUAGAUUCAAAAAAGCCUUUCAUAAAAUGUAACACUCAUUCCUAUUGAAAACACUAGAAAGUAUAGGAAUAGAAGGGUCUUUCCUAAAAAUAAUAAACAGUAUAUAUCAAAAACCAUCAGCAAACAUCAUCUGCAAUGGGGAUAAACUAGAAGCCUUCCCAUUCAGAUCAGAGGUGAAACAAGGAUGCCCAUUAUCACCUCUAUUAUUUAACAUUGUACUAGAAACACAGGUAGUAGAAAUUUGAGAAAAACAAAUUGAAUGUAUUAAAAUUGGCAAUGAGGAGGCCAACUUAAUCACUCUUUGCAGAUGAUAUGAUGGUUUAUGUAAAGAAUCCUAGAGAAUCAACCAAAAGUUAGUGAAACAAUCUACAAUUUUAGCCAAGUUUCAGGAUAAAAAAUAAAUCUGCAUAACGCAUCAGCAUUUCUAUAUACCUCCAACCCAUUUCAGCAGCAAGAAUUAGAAAGAGAAAUUCCACUUAAAGUCACCCAAGACAAUAUAAAAUACUUAGGAAUCUAUCUGUUGAGACAAACACAGGAUCAAUAUGAAUACAACUACAAAACACUCUCUACACAAUUAAAUCUAGAUCUAAAGAAUUGGAUAAACAUUGAUUGCUCAUGUGUGGGAUGAGCUAACUUAAUAAAAAUGACCAUCCUACUGUGGGAAGGAAAUCACUUUAAAAGACUGAUAUAUAUUUAAUUUAAGUCGCCAAGAAAUUCAGCUAUGUAAUUCCUAAAUGAAAACUCAAGUCAGCAGUCAAGCUUCUCAGAGCACAACCUCUCCAACCAACCACACUUAGUCCUCAGACCCUGCUAUGUUUAAGGAAACCAUCCAAGUUCCCUCCCCUCAGUUCUCACAUCUACCAAUCACUGUUCAUGUCUUCCCUGUGCCAAUGGUGGCUCUAGCUUAACCCAGGACCGCCCAGAGGUCUCUGGCUUUGCACAUGUCUGUUGAAGGUCAUAUUCUCAAAUAAUUAAAUCUUGAUCCUUUGCUACAGCCCUUCCUAAAUCCUGUUACCCUGAGUAGGGUAGAGAUUGGAAUAAUUAAAUUUUGAUCUAUGCUGCAGCCCUUCCUAAAUCCUGUUACCCUGAGUAGGUUGGAGAUUGGAAUAAUUAAAUUUUGAUCUAUGCUGCAGCCCUUUCCAUUGUUCAGCAAAAGGUUUCUGUCCUAAAGUAAUCUUAAGAAGGGAGGAGGAGGAACCUCCCAUGCCAAUGGGGUUCACAUUCCAAUAGACUAUCAGUAGGAAAUUUUCCAAGUAUGAAAUUUCCCAAUGGUGAAAUUUCCAACAUUUAUAAGUCUAAGAAAUUUUAAGGUUUACACUACCCAAACUAUUUCAUUUCUUUAGUGCUAUACGCAUUGAAGUAUCAAAAAAUGUUUAUACUGAAUUAGAAAAAAAACAUAGUUAAUUUGGAAGAACAAAAUAUCAAGGGUAUGCAGGGAAAUCGUGAAAAAAAUGGAAAGGAAGGAGGACUUGUAGUACCAGAUCUCAAACUAUACUAUAAAGUAACGGUCAUCAAAACAGUUUGUUCCUGUUUAAAAAACAAAAAGGAGUAUCGGUGGAAUAGACUUGGGGUAAGUGACCUCAGCAAGACAGUCUAAGACAAACUCAAAGAUCCCAGUUUUGGGGACAAAACCCCACUAUUUGAUAAAAAAACUGCUGGGAAAAUUGGAAGACAGUAUGGGAGAGAUCAGGUUUGGAUCAACAUCUCACACCCUACACCAAGAUAAACUCAGAAUAGAUGAAUGACAUGAAUACAAAGAAGGAAGCUAUAAGCAAAUGAGGUCUGAUUUUUGGGAAAGGAAAGACUUUAAAACCAAGCCAGAGCUAGAAAAAAAUGGCAAAAUGUAAAAUCACUAAUUUUGAUUACAUCAAAUUAAAUGCUUUUUUUACAAACAAAACUAAUGCAUCCAAAAUUAAAAGGGAAAAAACAAAUUGGGAAACAAUCUUCAUUAUAAAAAAAAGAACAAAAGUCUAAUUACUGAAAUUUAAAAGAGCUAAACCAAUUGUACAAAAAUCAAGCCAUUCUCCAGAUGAUAAAUGGGCAAAGGACAUGAAUAGGCAAUUUUGAGUUAAAGAAAUCAAAAGUAUUAAUAAGCACAUGAAAAAGUGUUCUAAAUCUCUUAUAAUCAGAGAAAUGCAAAUCAAACCAACUCUGAGGUAUCACCUCACACCUAGCAGAUUGGCUAACAUGACAGUAAAGGAAAGUAAUGAAUACUGGAGGGGAUGUGGCUAAGUUGGAACAUUAAUUUGCUGUUGGAGUUGUGAAUUGAUCCAACCAUUCUGGAGGGCAAUUUGGAACUAUGACCAAAGGGCAAUAAAAGACUGUCUGCUCUUUGAUCCAGCCAAAUCACUGUUGGGUUUUUAUCCCAAAGAGACAAUAAAGAAAGAGACAUGUAAAAAAUAUUCAAAGCUACGCUGUUUGUGGUGGCAAAAAAUUGGAAAAUGAGGGGAUGCCCUCCAAUUGUGGAAAGGCUGAACAAAUUGUGGUAUAUGUUGGUGAUGGAUUAUUAUUGUGCUCAAAGGAUUAAUAAAGUGGAAGAAUUCCAUGGGGACUGGAACAAACUCCAGGAACUGAUGCAAAGUGAGAGGAGUAGAACCAGGAAAACACUGUACACUGAGACUGAUGCACUGUGGUACUAUCGAAUAUAAUGGACUUCUCCAUUAGUGGCAAUGCAAUGACCCUGAAUAACUUGGAGGGCCCUAUGAGGAAAAGCACUAUCCACAUCCAGAGGAAAUAGUGGGAGUAAAAACAAUGAAGAAAAACAACUGCUUGAAUACAUGGGUAUAAGGGUAUAGUUGGGGAUGAAGACUAAAUGAACAUCCUAGAGUAAACAAAAACUUGGAAAUAGGUUCUGAAUGAGAACACAAAUAAUACCCAAUGAAAUUACGUGUUGGUUGUGGGAAGAGUGGGUGGAGGGGAGGGAGUGAAAUAAUGUGAUUAUGUUAACCAACGAGUAAUGUUCUAAAUUGAAUAAAUAAAUUAAUUCAAAUGGAAAUAAAAGUCUAAGUUAAAGCAAAACAAACAAACAAACAAACAAACAAAAAAAGCCAAACAGAAGAGUUUCUAUACUAGAGAAGAGCUGUGAGUAAGUUAGUAAAAUAGCCAGAUGUUCACUUUAAGGGAGAUGCAUCACUGAGAAUGUUGGGCUGGUUGCCUGGGAGACCCAGCCCUAGUGCUCAGGUCACAGACACUUGGAAUCUGGAACACAGACUGAAAUCUUCAGUUGGUAGAUGACCCUCAGAGGGGAAGUUGCUUCUCUAUGGUCACACACAGGUCAAUGGCUGGGUAUACAGAAGUCAUUUGAAAUCAACCAUGACUUUACUCAAAUUCAUUUUAGACAGGUGACCUCAUGGGUCCCCCUUGUCACAGUGUUCAACAGAAUCCAAGGGAGCAGUGGCAAACAGAUGAAGACUGGUGACUUCAUGGAUCCUCCUGGUCACAGUGUUCAAGGGAAACCCAGCGAGCAGCAACACUCAGAGGAUAGUGAGUGGGGGACUCCAAAGGUGAUGGAUGGAGGUGAGCUCAUGGAUUCCCCUGGUGAGUGUUUGAGGGAAAUCCAGUGAGCAAAAGCACGCAGAUGAUAGUGAGUGGGUGACUCCAAAGGUGAUGGAUGGAGGUGAGAUCUUCCAAUUCCUCAUCUCCCAUCCAUAUCAAACCUAGUGAGAAGAAAUAGGGAAGUCCCUAUUCCCAAAACCAAAGAAAUACCAGUUAUCGUUCCUAGAAAACAGGCAAAGGGGAUGGCUGCUCAAACAAUCAGAAGCCCACAGAGGUGAUGGAUGGAGCUCCAGCCUCUUAAACUAGAGAACUACAAAGCAGUCUUCUAUUUAUCUGUUCUGAGCCCAUGUCCAAAACAGUCAGUCCUUCCCCAGACUAGCUAGAACCUAUUAGAUGGCUGGCAAGAUUAACCCUGCUGGGACAGGGACCAACAUAGGAGCUUGCAUGUAAUCAGAACCAAACUGAGGAGGUAAUGUAUUCUAGGCAUGGUAGUGGGACUGCGCUUGGGUAGCAAAGGCUAUUGAAAGAUGAAAAACACAUUGGAGCUCCUUUGUGAUGCGCUUCAAAAAGCCAAACAGAAGUUUCUUUAGUAGAGAGUAGUAGUGAGUAGGGAAGAAAAAUGGGCAGAUGUGGACUUUAAGGGAGAUCCAUUACUUAGAAUCUUGAGUUGGUUUCCUGGGAGACCAAGCCCUUGUACUGAGGUCACAGACCCCUGGAAUCUGGGACACACAGUGAAAUCCUCUGUUGGUAGAUGAGGCUGAGAAGGGAAGAGGCUUCCCUAUGCUCACACAGAGGUCCAUGGCUGGGUAUACAGAACACUUUUGAAAUCAAAUUCAUUGUAGACAGAUGACCUCAUGGAUCCCCCUGGUUGCUGUGUUCGAGGGAAACCCAGCAAGCAGCAGCACUCAGAGGACAGUGAGUGGGGGACUCCAAAGGUGAUGGAUGGAGGUGAGAUCUUCCCACUCUUUGCCUCCCCAUCAUAUCAAACCGAGGCAGAAGAAAUAGGGAAGCCCUUGUUCUGAAAACCAAAAUGUUACCUGUUAUUGAUCCUAGCAGCCAGGCCAAAGGGAUGCCUGCUCAAACAAUCAGCAUCCAACAGAGGUAAUGGUUGGAUCUCCAGCCUCCUACCCUAGAGAACUAGAAACCAGUCUUCCACUUAUCUGACUUGAGCCCAAGUCCAAAACAGUUAAUCCUUCCCCAGACUAGAUAGGACUUUUUAUUUGAUGGCUGGAAUAAUUAACCCUUUUGAGACGUAGAUAUUCAUAGAUUCCUUACAUGCAGUCAGAACCAAAGUGAGGAGGCAGAGUAUUUGAGUCAUAGUGGUGGGACUUGGCUUGGGUAGCAAUGGCUAAUAAAGGCUAAAUGAUAAGUUGGGACCCCAUUGUGAGGAGCUUUAAAAAGGCAAAUGGAAGAGUAUCUACACUAGAGAGUAGUUGUAAGGAAGGAAGAAAAAUGGGCAAAUGUGCACUUUAAGGGAGAUCCAUCACUUAGAAUGUUGGUUUGGUUGGCUGGGAGACCUAGCCCUAGUGCUGAGGUCACAGACACUUGGAAUCCUGAACACACCAUGAAACACCCAGUUGGUAGUUGAAGCUGAGAAGUAAAGUGACUUCCCUAUGCUCACACACAGGUCCAUCGCUGGCUAUAUAGCAGUCUUUUGAAAUCCAAUAUGACUUUAAACAAAUUUCUUGUAGACAGGUGCUCUCAUUGAUCUUCCUGGUCACAGUGUUUGAGGGAACCCCAGCAAGCAGCAGCACUCAGAGGAAAGUGAAUGAGGGACUCCAAAUGUGAUGGAUGGAGGUGAGAUCUUCCCACUCCUCUCCUCCCAUCCAUAUCAGACUGAGGGAUAAGAAAUAGGGAAGUCUCUAUUCCCAAAUCUAAAGAAGUACACCUUAUUGAUCCUAGUAGACAGGCCAAAGGGAUGGCUGCUGAAAUAAUCAGUAGCUCACAGAGGUGAUGGAUAGAGCUCCAGCCUCCUAACCUAGAGAACUACAAAGCAGUCUUCUACUUAUCUGUUCUGGGCCCAUGUCCAAAACAGUCAGUCCUUCCCCAGACUAGAUAGGACUUGUUUUUGGAUGACUGGCAGGAUUAACCCUGCUGAGACCUGCACCUACAUAGGAUCUUUCCAUGCAGUCAGACACAAAGUGAGGAGUGAUCAUAAUGAGGCCCCGGUGGUGUGUAGCAAUGUCAAAUGAAGGCUGAAAAAUAAGUUGGGAACCAGUUGCAAGGUUCCUUAAAAGCAAAAUAGAAGAGUCUCUAUCCUAGAGACCAUAGUUAUGAGUAAGGAUUUAAAAUGGGCAGAUUUGCAGUUUAAGGGAGAUCUAUAACAUAGAAUGUUGUGUUGGUUGCCUGAGAGGCCAAGCCCUAGUGCUGACGUCAUAGACACUUGGAAUCUAGAACACACCAUGAAACCUUCAGUUGGUAGAUGAGGCUGACAGUGGAUGUGGCAUCCUUAUGCUCACACACAGGUCCAUGGCUGGGUAUAUAGAAGUCUUUUAAAAUCAAACAUGACUAUAAUCAAAUUCCUUGUAGACAGGUGAACUUGUGGAUCAACAUGGUCACAGUGUUCAAGAGAACCCCAGCAGGCAGCAAUACUCAGAGGACAGUGAAUUGAGGAUUCCAAAGGUGAUGGAAGGGGCUGAAAUUUCCCCACUCUUCUCUUCAUAUCAAACAGAGGAGGAAGAAAUUGGGAAGUCCCUGUUCCCAAAUCCAAAGAAGUACCACUUAUUGAUCCUAGCAGAUAGGUCAAAGGGAUGGCUGCUCAACAAUCAGCAUCCCACAGAUGUGAUGGAAGGAGCACUAGCCUCCUAACCUAAAGAACUAGAAACCAGUCCUCCACUUAACUGUACUGAGCCGGUGUCCAAAACAGUCUGUCCUUCCCCAGACUAGAUAGAACCUGCUAUUUGAUGGUUGGCAGGAUUAAUCCUGCUGUGACCGGGAUCUAUAUAGAACCUUGCAUGCAAUUAGAAUGAACCUGAGGAGGUAAUGUAUUCUAGGCAUGGUGGUGGGACUGGACUUGGGUAGCAAAGGCUAAUGAAGGCGGAAAGACAAGUUGGGACCUCUUUGUGAGGUGCUUUAAAAACCCAAUCAGGAGGACUUGCAGGUAAACAUAUCUGCAAUCUAUACAUGAAUUGCUUCCUCUCCCCUGACACAGAAUGAAAUAGACCACCUCAAAAGAGCAUAAAAAUCAUCCUUGGAAGAACGGAGUAACUCUCCAGAUGGCCACAGCAACGAAGGUACUUGGGUUUAGAACAUUUCCACACUAUGAGAAGGAGAAAAAGCCUGCACAAAAUCAUGAACUGAGCUGCCAUCCCCCACAUCCCCCAAGGACCAGAGUAGGGGCCAGCACGCUCACUGGAGACAGCUAGUGAGUGAGGAGUGUCUCUGGGGGGGGGGGACACCAUGGUCCUUGGGAUCUAACAAGGACUGCCAAGGAACUACCCCUCAGGGCGGUUUCACUGAAGAACUCUGUGCACUAGACAUGGAGCAGACAGAGGGAGCCCUUGCAAAAUGCGAACACUGUGGAGACCCUAGAAACUGUAGAAACUGCCUGAGGCCAAAGCUCCGCUCCUCGCUGUAGUGAGGGGGGGCACGCCAGGGUCCUUGGAAACUGACAGAGGCUACCAGGAAACUACUCCUCAGAGCGGUAUUACAGGAGACUCCUGCACAAAAGAGAGAAGAGACCACAGAGCAUGAGGGCUGGCUGGCAAUAAACCACAGAGUCAGGGAAGAACCAGCCUGGGGCAAAAAACAUUGCCACUUAAAUCCACAGAAAAACUGCCCAUAACACAAGACCUCUGACAAUCCAUUGCAUUGGGAAAGUGAAUAGAUUUGUGCCCUAUAGGGUAGUAGAAGGGUAACAAACAGAUUGGUGGGGAGGAAAGCAGUACAAGGGAGGGAGAUGGUGGGGUGGUAAUUUUAGAAAGACUACAGAGAAAAUAAGUGGGGGAAUAAGAAGGGAGAGGGGUAGAAAAGGAAGUAAAAUAAGGGUGGGAACUAAGGGGACUGAUUAACCCAAACAUUGGUGUAAAAGGAAAUAGUGAAAGAAGGAAAGGCAGGACCAGGAGUAGGAAUCAAAAUGCUGGGAAAUACAUAGUAAUCAUAACUCUGAAUGUGAAUGCAAUGAACUCACCCAUAAAACACAAGCAAAUAGAAGAGUGGAUAAGAAUCCAAAACUCUACCAUACAGUGUCUACAAGAAACACACAUGAGUAAUGUAGAUACUCAUAGGGUGAAAGUAAGAUGAUGGAGCCAAAUCUAUUGGGCGUCAACUGAUAAAAAGAAGGCAGGAGUCGCAAUCAUGAUAUCUGACAAAGGCAACGGAAAAACAGAUCUAGUUAAAAGAGAUAGGGAAGGUAAUUACAUCCUGAAAAAAGGCAGUAUAGAUAAUGAGGAAAUGUCCGUACUCAACAUGUAUGCACCAAAUGGCAUAGUAUCCAAAUUUCUUAAGGAGAAACUAGUGGAACUCAAGGAUGAAAUAGAUAGAAAAAUUAUACUAGUUUCCUCUAUCUGAACUAGAUGAAUCAAGCCAAAAAAAUAAAUCAGAAAGAGAUAAGAGAUGUGAAUGAAAUCUUGGAAAAAUUAGAGUCAGUAGACAUGUGGAGAAAAAUAAAUAGGGACAAAAAGGAAUACACCUCAUCAGCAGCACAUGGCACAUUCACAAAAAUUGACCAUGUAUUAGGGCAUAAAAACAUUGGAAAACUGCAGAAAUAAUAAAUGCAACCUUCUCAGAUCACAAUGCAAUGAAAAUAAGAAUUAGUAAGGGAUCAUGGAGAGGUAAAUCAAAAAUUAAUUGGAAACUAAACAAUACAAUUCUCAAAAACCGAUUAAAGAACAAAUCGUUGCAACAAUUAAUAACUUCAUUUAAGAAAAAGAAAAUGAUGAGAAAUCCUUUUAAAACCUAUGGGAUACAGCCAAAGAAGUACUCAGGGGAUAAUUUAUAUUAUUGAAUUUAUAUAUUAACAAAUUAAGAAGGGCAGAGGUCAAUGAAUUAGGCAUACAAAUAAAAAAAAUUAGAAAGUGAACAAAUUAAAAAUCCUCUGAUGAAGACUAAAUUAGAGAUCCUAAAAAUCAAAGGAUAAAUUAAUAGAAUUGAAAGUCAAAGAACUAUUGAUUUAAUAAAUAAGACUAGAAGCUGGUACUUUGAAAAAAACAAAUAAAAGAGACAAAGUACUAGUCAGUCUGAUUUAAAUAAGGAAAGAAAAAAACCAAAUUGACAGUAUCAAAGACAAAAAGGGAGACUUCUCCUCUAUUGAAGAGGAAAUUAAGGCAAUCAUUUAAAACUACUAUGCCCAAUUACACGGCAACAAAUAUGAGAAUCUAGGUGAUAUGGGUGAAUACUUACAAAAAUAUAAAUUGCCUAGACUAACAGAGGAAGAAAUAAAUUUCCUAAACAAUCCCAUAUGAGAAAAAGAAAUUGAACAAGCUAUCAAAAAACUCCCUUAGAAAAAAUCGCCACGUCCAGAUAGAUUCACCAAUGAAUUCAAUCAAACAUUCAAAGGACAACUAAUCCUAAUAUUAUACAAACUAUUUGACAAUAAGCAAAGAAGGAGUUCUACCAAAUUCAUUUUAUGACACAAACAUGGUACUGAUCCCAAAGCCAGGCAGGUCAAAAACAGAGAAAGAAAACUAUAAACCAAUCUUCUUAAUGAAUAGAGAUGCAAACAUCUUAAAUAGGAUACUAGCAAAAAGUGUCCAGCAAGCCAUACCAAGGGUUAUUCACUAUGACCAGGUAGGAUUCAUACCAGGAAUGCAAGGAUGGAUCAUUAUUAGGAAAACCAUGCACAUAAUUGACCAUAUUAACAAGCAAACUGAAAAAAAAAACAGAUGAUUAUCUCAAUAGAUCCAGAAAAAGCCUUUAAUGAAAUGGAACACCCAUUCCUAUUGAAAACACUAGAAAGUAUAGGAAUAGAAGGGUCUCUCCUAAAAAUAAUAAAUAGCAUAUAUCUAAAACCAUCAGCAAACAUCAUCUGCAAUGGGGAUAAACUAGAAGCCUUCCCAAUCAGAUCAGAGGUGAAACAAGGAUGCCCAUUAUCACCUCUAUUAUUUAACAUUGUACUAGAAACACUAGCAGUAGCAAUUAGAGAAGAAAAAGAAAUUGAAGGUAUUAAAAUUGGCAAUGAGGAGACCCACUUAAUCAAUCUUGGCGGAUGAUAUGAUGGUUUACUUAAAGAAUCCUAGAGAAUCAAACAAAAAGCUAGUCGAAACAUUUUUAGCCAAGUUUCAGGAUACAAAAUGAACCUGCAUAAGUCAUCAACAUUUCUAUAUAUUUCCAACACAGCUCAGCAUCAAGAAUUAAAAAGAGAAAUUCCACUUAAAAUCACCCUAGACAAUAUAAAAUACUUAGGAAUCUAUCUGUCGAGACAAACACAGGAUCUAUAUGAAUACAACUACAAAACACUCUCCACACACACACACACAAAAACUAAACAAUUGGAAAACCAUUGACUGCACAUGAGUGGAACAAGCUAACAUAAUUAAAAUGACAAUACUACACAAAUUCCCUUAUUUAGUGCUAUACCCAUUGAACUACCAAAAAACUUUCUUUUCUGAGUUAGAAAAAAACAUGAAGUUCAUUUGGAAGGGGAAAAAAAGGAUAUCUAGGGAAAUCAUGAAAAAAAUGCACAAGAAGGAGGACUUGCAGGACCAGAUAUCAAACUAUACUAUAAAGCAGCUGUCAUCAAAACAGUUUGGUCUUGGCUAAAAGAAAGGAGGAUCAGUUCAAUAGACUUGGUGUAAAUGACCUCAGCCAGACAGUCUAUGCUAAACCCAAAGAUCCCAGUUUUGGGGACCAAACUCCACUAUUUAAUAAAAACUGCUGGGAAAAUUGGAAGACAGUAUAGGAGAGAUUAGGUUUGGAUCAACAUCUCACACACUACACCAAGAUAAACUCAGAAUGGGUACAUGACCUGAAUACAAAGAAAGAAAUUAUAAGCAAAUUAGGUGAACAUAGAAUAGUUCACAUGUCAUAUCUUUGGGAAAGGAAAGGCUUCAAAACCAAGCAAGAGCUUGAAAAAAAUGACAAAAUAUAAAAACACUAAUUUUGAUUACAUUAAAUUAAAAAAAUUUAAAAACAAAAUUAAUGCGUCCAAAAUUAUAAAGGAAGAAACAAAUUGGGAAAGAAUCCUCAUUAUAAAAGUAAGAACAAAGGUCAGAACAAAGGUCUAAUUACUCAAAUUUAUUAAGAGCUAUAUCAGUUCUAUAAAAACUCAAGCCAUUCUUCAAUUGAUAAAUGGGCAAGGGACUUGAAUAGGAAAUUUUCAGUUAAAGAAAUCAAAAGUAUUAAUAAGUACAUGAAAAAGUGUUCUAAAUCUCUUAUAAUCAGAGAAAUGCAAAUCAAAACAACUCUGAGGUAUCACCUCACACCUAGCAGAUUGGCUAACAUGACAGCAAAGGAAAGUAAAGAAUGCUGCAGGGGAUGUGGCAAAGUCAGGACAUUAAUUCAUUGCUGGUGGAGUUGUGAAUUGAUCCAACCAUUCUGGAGGGCAAUUUGGAACUAUGUCCAAAGGGCGAUAAAAGACUGCCCUUUAAUCCAUCCAUAGCACUGCUGGGUUUGUACCCCAAAGAGACAAUAAAGAAGAAGACACGUAAAAAAUAUUCAUAGCUGUGCACUUAGUGGUGGCAAAAAAUUGGAAAAUGAGGGGAUGCCCUUCAAUUGGGGAAUGGCUGAUCAAAUUGUGGUAUAUUUUAGUGAUGGAAUAUUAUUGUGCUCAAAGGAAUAAUAAAGUGGAGGAAUUCCAUGGGGACUGGAACAACCUCCAGGAAGUGAUGCAGAGCGAGAGGAGCAAAACCAGGAAAACACUGUACUCAGAGACUGAAACACUGUGGUACAAUCACAUGUAAUGGACUUCUCCAUUAGUGGCAGUAUAAUGACCCUGAAUAACUUGGUGGUAUCUAUGAGGAAAACCACUAUCCACAUACAGAAGACAUUUGAAAUCAAACAUGACGUUACUCAAAUUCUUGUAGACAGGUGAUCUCAUGGAACCCUCUGGUCACAGUGUUCUAUAGAAACCCAGGGAGCAGCAGCACAUAGAGAAAGGUGAGUGGGGGGUCUUCAAGGUGAUUGAUGGAUGUGAGAUCUUCCAACUCCCCUCCUCCCAUCCAUAUCAAAACGAGGGAGAAGAAAUUUGGAAGUUCCUGUUCCCAAAUCCAAAGAAGUACCAUUAUUGAUCCUACCAGACAGGACAGAGGGAUAAAUGCUCAAACAAUCAGCAGCCCACAGAGGUGAUGGAUGGAACUCCAGUAACCUAAACAAGAGAACUAGAAACCAGUCCGGCACUAAUCUGUCCUGAGCCCACAUCCAAAACAUUCAGUUCUUCCCCAGACUAGAUAGGACUUGUUAUUUGAUGGCUGACAGAAUUAAUCCUGUUGGGACGUUGACGUUCAUAGGGUCCUAACAUGCAGUCAGAACCAAAGUGAGGAGGCAGGGUAAUUGAGACAUAGUGGUGGGAUUCGGCUUGCUUUACAAUGGCUAAGGAAGACUGAAAGAUAAGUUGUUGCCGCAUUCAGAGGCACUUUAAAAAGCCAAACAGAAGGGUUUCUAAACUAGAGAGUAGUUGUGAGUAAGGAAAUAAAAUGGGCAGAUGGGCACUUUAAGGGAGUCCCAUCACUUCGAAUGUUUGGCUGGUUGUCUGGGAGACCCAGCCCUAGUGCUGAGGUCAUAGACCCUGGGAAUCUGGAAGACACAGUGAAACCUUCAGUUGGUAGAUGAGGCUCAUAGGGGAUGUGGCUUCCCCGUGCUCACACACAGGUCCAUGGCUGGGUAUACAGAAGACAUUUGUAUUCAUAAAUGACUUUACUCAAGUUCCUUGUUGACAGGUGACCUCAUGGAUCCCCAUGGUUGCAAUGUUUGAGGGAAACCCAGUGAGCAGCAGCACUCAGAGGAUAGUGAGUGGGGGACUCCAAAGGUGAUGGAUGGAGGUGACCUCAUGGAUCCCCCUGGUCACAGUGUUCAAGGGAAACCCAUUGAGCAGCAGCACUCAGAGGAUAGUUAGUGGGGGACUCCAAAGGUGAUGGAUGAAGACAGGUGACCUCAUGGAUACCCCUGGUGACUGUGUUCUAUAGAAACCCAGCCAGUAGUGACACUCAGAGAAAGGUGACCUCAUGGAUCCCCAUGGUUGCAAUGUUUGAGGGAAACCCAGUGAGCAGCAGCACUCAGAGGAUAGUGAGUGGGGGACUCCAAAGGUGAUGGAUGGAGGUGACCUCAUGGAUCCCCCUGGUCACAGUGUUCAAGGGAAACCCAUUGAGCAGCAGCACUCAGAGGAUAGUUAGUGGGGGACUCCAAAGGUGAUGGAUGAAGACAGGUGACCUCAUGGAUACCCCUGGUGACUGUGUUCUAUAGAAACCCAGCCAGUAGUGACACUCAGAGAAAGGUGACCUCAUGGAUCCCCCUGGUCACAGUGUUCAAGGGAAACCCAUUGAGCAGCAGCACUCAGAGGAUAGUUAGUGGGAGACACCAAAGGUAAUGGAUGGAGACAGGUGACCUCAUGGAUCCCCCUGGUCACUGUAUUCUAGAGAAACCCAGCGAGUAGUGACACUCAGAGAAAGGUGAGUGGGGGACUCCAAGGUGAUGGAUUGAGGUGAGAUCUCCAACUCCUCUCCUCCCAUCCAUAUCAAACCAAGGGAGAGCAAUAGGGAAGUUUCUGUUCCCAAAUCCAAAGAAGUAUCAGUUAUUGAUCCUAACAGACAGGCCAAAGGGAUGGCUGCUCAAAAAAUCAGCAGCCCAAAGCGGUGAUGGAUGGACCUCCAGCCUCCUAACCUAGAGAACUAGAAACAAGUCUUGUACUUAUCUCUCCUGAGCCCAUGUUUAUGAGUCCUUCCCCAGACUAGAUGGGACUUGUUAUUUGAUAGCUGGCAGAAUUAACCCUGUUGGGACGUAGACCUCCAUAGGGUCCUUAAUGCAGUCAGAACCAAAGUGAGGAGGCAGAGUAUUCAAGGCAUAGUGGUGGGACUGGGUUUGGGUAGCAAUGGCUAAUGAAGGCUGAAAGAUGAGUAGGAACCCCAUUAUAGGGAGCUUUAAAAAGCCAAACAGAAGAGUUUCUAUACUAGAGAGUAGUUGUGAGUAAGGAAAUAAAAUGUGCCAAUGGGCACUUUAAGGGAGAUUCAUCACUUAGAAUGUUGGGCUGGUUGCCUGGGAGACCCAGACCUAGUGCCCAGGUCACAGACCCUUGGAAUCUGGACACACAGUGAAACCCUCAGUUGGUAGAUGAUGCUGAGAAGGGAAGUGGCCUCCCUAUGCUCACACACAGGUCCAUGGCUGGUUAUACAGAAGACUUUUGAAAUCAAACAUGACUUUACUUACUCAAGUUCCUUGUUGACAGGUGACCUCAUGGAUCCCCCUGGUCACAGUGUUCAAGGGAAACCCAUUGAGCAGCAGCACUCAGAGGAUAGUUAGUGGGGGACUCCAAAGGUGAUGGAUGAAGACAGGUGAUCUCGUGGAUCCUCCUGGUCAUAGUGUUUGAGAGAAUCGCAGCGAGUAGUGACACUCAGAGAAAGAUGAGUGGGGGACUCCAAAGGUGAUGGAUGGAGGUAAUGGAGAAUGUUCUCUGAGUACAGAAAUUCCAUCAGUUCCCCCCCCAAGACUAAGUGACUAUGUAUGUCCUGUUACUCUCCAAUGAUCAAUUCAUUAUUCGGUUUCCAAUGAGAAAGAGACCCAGAAAAGAUUCAGAAGGAGUCAGCAAAAAGCCUUGCUUCCUACAAGAGUUCCUGAUUUGGAUAGAGAAACAGCACAUAUGGGAACAAAGAACCUCCGACUAUGGACAGAGAUCACAGUGCAUUUGUAGGAUGGUCAGGUUUUGUGGAUACUACACACUUUGAUGUCCUCUGACCUAUCAAACCUAUCCCUUUUAGUCUCCCUUGCUGGAUCCUCAUCCAGAUCAUGCCCUCUAACUGUAAGUAUCCCACAGAGUUCUGUCCUGGGACCUCUUCUCCUUCUAUACUACUUCACUUGGUGAUUUCAUCAUCUCCCAUGGAUUUCAUUCCAUCUCUAUGCUAAUGAUUUUUAAAUCUUCUUAUCCCACUCUAAAGUCUCUGCUGAGAUCCAGCCUCACAGUUGCAAUGGCUUUUAAGACAUCUCAAACUGGAUGUCCAGUGCACAUCUUAAACUCAACAUGUCCACACUUACUAUCUUUACUCUAACCCUCCCCUUUCUAAACUUAUUAUGGUCUAGGUCCAUGGUGGUGAACCAAUGGCAUAUGUGGCUGAGGAAGCACUCAGUGGGCAUGAGAGCUGUCACCCCAUCACAGAGUUCACCAGAUUUUGUUACUAGAAAACCAGAGAGAUGAGGGGCAGGGCUUCUCACCUACCCCUCUCCACAGGCACCUGUGGACAUUUCUUAGAUCACCCCCCUUUUAAUAGGUUCACCAUCACUGGACUCUGGGAUAACACAAUCUUCCCAUUCCCUUAGGUAUCAUCUUUGACUCUCUCACACCCCAUGUCUGACCUAUUGAUUUCACCUUUGGGGCAUCACUUCGAAUGCUCCCUUACCUCUUCUGGUACUGCCAACACCUUGGUACAGGCUCUCAUCACAUCACACCUUGACUAUUGAAAUAACCUGAAGAUUUUGCUGGUAAUUCACUCCCCACUCUAAUCCAUAUUUCAUUCAGUGACCCAAGUGAUCUUCCUAAAGCACCAGUCUGACCAUGACACCAUCCUCCUCAGUAAACUCCAAUGUCUCCCUUUUAUCUCCAGGAUCAAAUACAAAAUUCCUCUUUUGGCAUUCAAAACCCUUUAUAAUCUAGUAAUACCUUACCUUUCCAGACUUCUAGUACCUUAGUCCUAACUACAUACUAUUUUAUUCAAUGACAUGGACCCCUUUGAUGUUCCAUCAAUAAGGCAUUCCAUCUCUCAGCUCUGGGCACUUGCUUUGAUUGUCCCCCAUGCCUAGAACCCUCUUGUUCUUCAUUUAUAUCUAAUGGCUUCCUUACUUUCUUUUAAAUCCCAAUUCCAAUUCCAUCUUCCACAGGAAGCAUUUAUCAGCUCUUUUAAAAUUCAAUGCCUAAGUGGAGCUAAAAUGGCAACUUAGAAGCACCAAAAGCUCAAUCUUUCUCAGACAAUCCUUUUAUAUCAAUAUUUAUCAUAUGCUUCAGACAACAGAAACCUGAAUCCAACAAGGACAGUAGGACAUGGGACUCUCCUAUGGAAAAUAUCUUAAAAGGUGAGCACAGAGAGGCUAUUUUCAUGGGAUAAAGGACAGAAGGGCAGGUUGAAUACCCUCCCCCACCCAUAACUACUGAUCUGUGUGAUCAGAUAAGACGGACAGUCUGUGAUUGCCCAGGUUAGAGACUGCAGCUCUGAAAGAAAAAAGGUUUGUCUCUGACUCAUCACACAAGAGCCAGGUAAUAGCUGGUAGAGGGGAACUUGGGGUGGGGCUAUAGGGAGGGACACCCUCACCCACCCAUCUCACUGAGAUCUGCAAUCAUACCUGGCUUCUGAGUGAGUCCCAGGUAGAGCACAGUGAAGAAUAUGACCUGGGGCAGGCUAGCCCAGUAGGCUAGCAAAGUUGGUUAAAUACCAGCAGAGGAUUGAGAAAAGAGAAGAUUUGGCCUUUGGGCAUAGCAGCCCAAACACUCUGAUACAGAAAACCAGCAAAGGGGCAAGAUAAUACUCCAUAGCCUGAGAAAAAUAAACAAAUAAAAAUAAAUAAAAUGAUUAAACAAGAGAAAAAGAAAAAAAGUCACAGUCAAAAGCUUCAAUGGGAGUAAGGAUCAAAUGGAAGAGCCUGAGAACCAAGGAACAUAAAGCAAAGCCUCAAAAAAAUCAGGGAGCUAGAUGCAGGCUUUGGAGAAGCUCAAAAAAUAAUUAAAAAAUCAAAUAAGACAGGCUGAAAUAGCAAAAUAAAAAUAGACUAAAAAGCAAAAUAAGUCAUCUGGAAACAAAGGCACAGGCACUGAAAGCUGGAACUGACCUGCUGGAAAAUAGGGAAAAAAGAAUGGAAGAAGAGAAAAAUGACUUGAAAGAAAGACUGGACCAAAAAGAAAAGGAAGAUUAAAAGGUUGUGGAAGAAUUUCAGUCUCUAAAAACUAGACAGAAUUGGACAAUUAGAAACUAAUGACUUCACAAAACAAGCAAUAGAACAAAAUCAAAAGAAUAAAAAAUUAAAAAUGAUAUAAGAUGCCUCACUGAGAAAAUAACUGACCUUAAAAAUAGAUCCAGGAGAGGCAAUUUAAGAAUUAUUGGGCUACUUGAAAAUCAUGACCAAAGGAAAAGCCUAUACAUUAUUCUACAAGAAAUUAUACAAAAAACCUGCCCUGAUAUUCUUGAACAAGAGGGUAAAAAAGAGAUAGAAAGAAUCCACAGAUUACCCCUUGUAUUAAAUCCCCAAAUGACAACAACCAGGAAUGUUAUAGCCAAGCUCAAGAGUUUCCAGAUCAAGGGGAAAAUAUAACAAACUGCUAGAAAGAAACAAUUCAGAUAUCACAGAACCUCAGUCAGGAUUACACAGGACCUAGCUACAUCUACACCGAAGGACUAGAAGGCAUGGAAUAUGAUAUUCCAGAAGGCAAGGGAAUUGGAUCUACAACCAAGAAUCAACUACCCAGGAAAAUUUAUUAUAUUCUCUCAGGGGGAAGAAUGGUCAUUUAAUAAAAUAGAUUUCCAAGCAUUCCUAAAAAUAUAGACUUAAACAUAAAAGUUGAUGCCCAAAUAUAGAACUCAAGAGAAUCACAAAAAGGUAAAUCAGGAAGAAAAAAAAUUAAGGGACUCAAUAAGGUCAAAUAGCAUGUAUUGUUAUAUAAAAAGAUGAUAUCUAUAACUCUUAAAAUUAUUAUCAUCAUCAUAGUAGCUAGAAGAAGUAUACAUAGAAGGUAUAGUGGUAAACUAUAUGAGGAUGAUAUGUAUAUUAAAAACUAUGAGUGAAAAGAGGAUAAUAUUAAAAAUAGAAAAAGGGGAAAAGAGGAUGAAAUACAUUUCAUAAAGAAGCACACAGAGUAGGGGUGGGGAAGAAGACCAAUAUAAUGGAAGGGAGGAAGAGGUCGUAGACAUAAUACUUAAAUCUUUUACUCAUUGGAAUUGACCCAGAGAUGGAAGAACACUCAGAUCCAUUGGGGCAUAGAAUUAUAUCUUGCAUUAUAGAGAAGUAAAAGGAUAAUGAGAAAUGGGAUGGUGGGGAGAGAGCAAUGCAAAAUAGGGAGAGGUUGGGGGCAUUCAAAGGGCCCUAUAGUAAGAAGGGAGUAAUAAGAAGGGAGGGGGAGGAAGGAGAGUAAUAUUAGGGAGAGGAAAGGGAAGAGGCUGACUAAAAGUAAAAUGCUGGAGGAGAGAGUAAAAGGGAUAAGAGAAAAGGUAGGAUUAAAGGAAGAGGUCAAAAUGGAAGGGAAUACACUGAUGGUAAUCAUAACUGUGAAUGUGACUAGGAUGAACUCACUUACAAAAUGGAAACAGAUAGCAGAAUGGAUUAAAAACCAGAAUACUAGCAUACAUUGUCUACAAGAAGCACACUUCAUGCAGGUAGACAUACAUAAUGGAAAGGUAAGAGGUUAGAGCAGAAUUUACUGGGCUGCAACUGAGACAAAGAAGGCAGGAGUAGCAAUCAUGAUCUCAGAUAAAGCUAAAGUAAAAAUAGAUUUGAUUAAAAAAGAUAAAGGACUCCUAACCAAGAGCAAAAUAUUGCCACAAAGCAAAUACAGAAGUGAAAGAACCAACAAAGAGACUGAGUGAAAAAAACUUUAAAAAAAAGGCUCAAAAGGUAGGCAGAGACCAUCUGGGGAAUUGAAGUGAGAAGGGAACAGAGCCAGCAAGAGACUAUAACAAGGAGUGAAGAGCAAACUAUAACCCCUGCCACCCACCCACCCACCCUGCAUAUGCUGUCACAGGUUCCAAACAUAAGCCCAAAUUAACAUUCAGACUUGAGACCUCCAUGGGCCAAUAGUGGUCCAAGCCAAUUCAUACCCCACUGAAAUUUUAAAACUGUAGAGACAUCUGGAGGGGGUUGAUAAUUGUGGGCCCAGAGAAAAGUCAGGAAUCCCAGUCUGGGCUGGGGAUGAGGACAUAAUCCAUGGUUUGUGGUAAGGACACAGUUCUCAGGGGGAGUCCUCCCUCCCAAUAUCUUUUCCCCAAAACUAAGGGUAGACCUCCAGGACAGGGCAAUUAAAUGUGUGCUUGACUGAAUCAAGAACACAAUGAGACCAAAACCAUAAGCCUAAGCCUGGGGCUUGAAUUUGACCAGCCCUUGACCAGAUCAAGUUCACAGUAAGAUAAAAAGCUUACACCUAAGCCUGAGGAAAGUUUUUAAGGUACCAGCAUCUCAAAGGGCAAUUGAAUGAGCAGGGGGAGUGGGCUCUCAGAGCUCUUAGCUCUCAGACCAUCUGAUAAACUAGUAACAAACCAGAAAACAAGCUAAAAAUAAUAUCAAGGAAUGACUGAAGUUGAAGAGGGUAUCUCAACUUCCUAGAAAACAGUCUACCUAUAAUUAGAUAGGAAAAAUAAGCAAACAAAAAACACCUAACUCCAAAGAAUUUUUCAUGGAGACAAAGAGCAAGGUACAGACACAGAAAGGGACAGUAAAAAGGAAAGGAAAUGCAUGCAAAGUCCAAAAGAAAAAAUGGAUGUGACACAAAUUCUCGAAGACCUCAAAAAAGACUUCAAAAACCAAUUAAGAGAUGUAGAGGAAAAGUGGGGAAGAAAAAUGAAAGUGAUGCAAGAAGAAAGGAAAGUGCUACAAGGUGAAUAGAAAGUGAUGCAAGGAGAAAUGGACAAAUUGAAAAAAGAAGAACCAAAAACUGACAGAGGAAAAUCAUGUCUUAAAAAUCAUUAUUGACCAUCUAGAAACUAAUGACUUCAUGAGAAAUCAAGAAACAAAAGCAGAAUCAAAGAAAUGAAUAAACAGAGGAAAACAUGAAUUAUCUCACUGAAAAAAAUAAAUGACCUAGAAAAUAGAUCUAGGAGAGACGAUUUGAGAAUUACUGGACUACCAGAAAGUCAUGAUCAAAAAAAAAAAACCCUGAGACAUCACACUAUAAGAAUUUAUCAAAGAAAACUUCCCAGAGAUCCUCAAACAAGAAAAUAAAAUUAAAAUAGAAUUCAAAUGACAGUUUCCAGGAAUAAAAUAGUUAAAUUCAAGAGCCACCAAGUUAAGGAAAAAAUACUUGAAGCAGCCAGAAAGAAACCAUUCAAAUAACACAGAGCUACAAUCAGGAUCACACAGGGCUUGGCAGCUUCUACAUUAAAAUAUUGUAAAGCAUGGAUUGUGAUAUUCAGGGUUGCAAAAGAUUUGGGUUUACAUCCCAGAGUCACCUAUCCAGCAAAACUGAGUAUAUUCUUUCAGGGGAAAAUAUGGUCAUUCAAUAAGAUUAUCAAAGAUUUCCAAGCAUUCCUGAGGAAUAAGUCAGACCUAAACAAAAAUUUGAAGUCCAAAACCUGAAACACAAGAGAAGCCCAAAAAGGUAAAUAAGAAAGAGAAAAUUUAAGGAACUCAUUAAGAUUAAAAUGUUUAUAUGUCUACAUGGAAAGAGUAUUUCUGUAAUUCUCAAAAAUUAUUCUUAGUAGUUGAGAAGAUAGAAGGAAUUUACUCACAAAGAGGGUGGAUAAUUAGCUGAUUAUGAUGAUAUGAUGUAUAUGAAGAUAUGAUAUAUAUGUAAAUGUGAUGAUUGAAAUUAUAAGUAUGAUAUUAUAUGUAUGCAUAUGAAUGGUAUGUAAAAAAUCAGUAAAGGGCUGAAAUAGAGGGUUGCACCAAAGAUGCAUGAAAAAUCAUUACAGAGAGGGGAGGACAAAGGGUGAUGAUAGGCAAUGCUUAAACUUAACUUUCAUUGUAACUGACUGCAGAGGGAAAAACUAGUAUACUCAGUGGGUUAUAGAAUUCUUUCAACCUACAGAGAAGUUGAAGAGGAACAAGAAAAAUAAAGGGGAGGAUAAUUAAAGGGAGGUGUAGGUGUAUGUGUGUGUGUGUGUGUGUGUGUGUGUGUGUGAAAAAAGCAAAUACUGGUGAGGAGGAAUAGAGUGAAAGGGAAUAGAGUACAAUCUAAAGGGGAUAAUAUGAUGGAGGUAAAUACACAGUAAUCAUAACACUGAAUGUGAAUGGGACGAACUUAUCCAUUAAAUGGAAGCAGACAGAAGAGUGGAUUAAAAACCAAAAUAUUACUAUAUAUUGUUUACAAGAAACACAUUUGAGGCAAGGUGACACACAAAGAUUCAAGGUAAAAUGCUAGAGCAGAAUUUAUUAUGCAUCAUCUAAACUAAAAAAAAAAAGCAAGAGUAACAGUCAUGAUACCCAGAGUCAAAGUAGAAAUUGAUUUGAUUAAAAGAGAUAAGGAAGGAAAUUAUAUUUUGCUAAAGGGUACUAAACACAAUGAAGUAAUAUCGUUACUAAUCAUUUAUGAACCAAAUGGUAUAGCAUCUAGAUUUCUAAAGUAAAAGUUAAAGGAGCUCAAGGAGGAAAUAGAUAGUAAGACCAUACUAGUGGGGGGUCUCAACCUUUCCCUAUAAGAACUAGAUAAAUCAAACCAAAAAAUAAGAAAGAAGUAUAUGAAAUGCUAGAAAAAUUAUAACUAAUAGCUAUCUGGAGAAAACUGAACAGGAAUAAAAAGGAAUAUAACUUCUCAUCAGUACAUGGUAUAUAUACAAAGACUGACUAUGUAGUAGGGCUUAGAUAUAUUGCAAAAAAUGCAGAAAAGCAGAAAUAAUAAAUGCAACUUUUUCAGAUCAUAAUGUGAUAAAAAUUAUAGUUAAUAAGGCUCCAUAGAAAGGCACAUUGAAAAUUAAUUGAAAACUAAAUAAUCUAAUUCUUCAAAACUGGUGGGUCAAAGAAGAAAUAAUAGAAACCAUUAUGGGCUUCAUUAAAAAGAAUGACAAUGAGGCAACAACAUAUCAAAACCUAUGGGAUACAGCUAAAGCAGGACUCAGGGGAAUUUUUAUAUUGCUGAGUCCCUUUAAUAAAAAUUGAAAGGAAGGAUAUGAAUGAUUUGGUCUUGCAACUUAAAAAAUUAGAAAAAAGAACAAAUUAAAAAUCCCCAGGUGAAAACUAAAUUGGAAAUCCUAAAAAUUAAAGGAAAAAUUAAUCAAAUUGAAAGUAAAAAAAAAUUAUUGAACUAAUAAAUAAGACUAGGAGCUGGUACUUUGAAAAAAGUACUGGUUAAUCUAAUAAAAAAGAAAGAAAAGAAUCAAAGUAACAGUAUCAAAGAUGAAAAGUGUGAUCUCACCUCUAAUGAAGAGGAAAUUAAGGUAUGUAAUAAUUAAAAUUCAGUUAUGAUGCUGCUAGUAGCUUUAACAGCUUUAUUACAUCAAAGUAGAAAUAGUAUGAGAGCAAAAUAUAGGAAAGAGGUAGAGAGUUGUCUAGCCUACCAUCCUAUGUACUGUUCUGAUGGAAUCCAGCUCACCACUGACAGGGUUCCAAUCUCUAUUAUUUAAUAUUGUACUAUAAAAUGCUAGUGGUAGCAAUUAAGAGAAGAAAAAGAAAUGGAAUGGAUUAAAAUAGGCAAUAAGGAGUAUUAACUAUCACUCUUUGCAGAUGAAAUAAUGGUUUAUUUAAUGAAUCCUAGAAAAUCAACUAAAAGGCCAGUGAAAAUAAUCAACAAGUUUAUUAAAGUUGCAGGGUACAAAAUAAAACCCAUAUAAAUCAUCAGCAUUUCUGUAUAUUUCCAACAAAAAUUAGUAGCAGGAGUUAGAAAGGGAAACUCCAAUUAAAAUCGCUAAAAACACAGAAGAAAAACAACUGCUUGAUCACCUGGGUUGAUGGGGAUAUGACUGGUGAUGUAGACUCUAAAGGAUCACCAUAGUGCAAUUAUCAAUAAUAAGUAAAUAGGUCUUGAUCAAUUACACAAGGAAAACCCUGUUGAAUUGUGUGUCAGCUACAGGGAGUGGGGCUUGCGGGGAGGGAAAGAACAUGAAUCUUGUA
Molecule: non-coding RNA, 35505 nt
Organism: Monodelphis domestica (gray short-tailed opossum)
Lineage: Eukaryota; Metazoa; Chordata; Mammalia; Didelphimorphia; Didelphidae
Source: RefSeq, a predicted model, not a curated record